GACGAACGCUGGCGGCGUGCUUAACACAUGCCAGUCGAACGGAAAGGCCCUGCUUUUGUGGGGUGCUCGAGUGGCGAACGGGUGAGUAACACGUGAGUAACCUGCCCUUGACUUUGGGAUAACUUCAGGAAACUGGGGCUAAUACCGCAUAGGAGCUCCUGCUGCAUGGUGGGGGUUGGAAAGUUUCGGCGGUUGGGGAUGGAUUCGCAGCUUAUCCGCUUGUUGGUGGGGUAGUGGCUUACCAAGGCUUUGACGGGUAGGCGGCCUGAGAGGGUGACCGGCGACAUUGGGCCUGCGGGACGGCGCAGAAUGCUACGGGACGCAGCAGUGGGGAAUCUUGCGCAGCGGGCGCAAGCCUGAUGUAGCAGCGCCGCGUGCGUGAUGACGUCUUUCGGGUUGAAAACAGAUUUCGCCUGUGACGAAGCCUGAGUGACGGUAAUGGGUCAAGAAGCACCGGCUAACUACGUG
Molecule: ribosomal RNA, 468 nt
Filed under: uncultured bacterium
Lineage: Bacteria
Description: partial 16S ribosomal RNA
Rfam family: Bacterial small subunit ribosomal RNA
Source: RNAcentral